Molecule: long non-coding RNA, 620 nt
Filed under: Amphimedon queenslandica
Lineage: Eukaryota; Metazoa; Porifera; Demospongiae; Haplosclerida; Niphatidae
Description: uncharacterized LOC109590210, transcript variant X1
Source: RNAcentral
GAAUCUCAACUUAAAGAUCAAAGUCUGGUAAAUUAUAAUGUACCCACUUGUAAGUUGAGUAUAGCAAGUGCUACCAUUGCUACAAUAUGUCUGGCUCUGCUAACUGCCAUUGAGCUAAUCACUGUUUUACUUAAAAUAAAUGCAAAAAAGUUGGUUGCUGGGAUUAUUCAAGUUGGACUCUUUGUUGGUUCUAUUUUGUCCCUAUUGAAUACCACAGUGGUGGUUUCAGCUGGUUGGGCAAAGACCUGUGCUACACACAAUGACUAUGAUCAUUUUAUAACAGGAUCUGGUUCUUUCAUUAGAUUUGAUUGCACUGGACCACAAUAUACUACUAUUAUCUCUCGCUAUGAUUUCACUGAACUUGGACCUUAUCCACCAAAUGGUGCAGAAUUCAUAGCAGCUGCUAUAUGUUCUGGUGUUGGUACUUUGUUAACUAUUGCAGCUUUUUGUAUUUGUAGUGUGAAGCUGAUGAUACGAAAUGAUGAUUGAAUCAUGCCAAACAAUUAAACACUAAUUUCAUGUAGAAACAAUAAUUAUAGUGAUCCUAAUAUUGACACUACUUUUUAGUUGAUUAUCAUGUACUGUCUAUUAGUAAAAUGUAUUACAUAUAGUUAAAGCAA